This 446-nucleotide ribosomal RNA is filed under the name uncultured bacterium. RNAcentral's name for it is "partial 16S ribosomal RNA". It matches the Rfam family "Bacterial small subunit ribosomal RNA", at positions 338 to 795 of the family's 1533-position model. The record is from RNAcentral.
CCUACGGGGUGCAGCAGUCGAGAAUCAUUCACAAUGGGGGAAACCCUGAUGGUGCGACGCCGCGUGGGGGAAUGAAGGUCUUCGGAUUGUAAACCCCUGUCAUGUGGGAGCAAAUCAAAAAGAUAGUACCACAAGAGGAAGAGACGGCUAAUUCUGUGCCAGCAGCCGCGGUAAUACAGAGGUCUCAAGCGUUGUUCGGAAUCACUGGGCGUAAAGUGUGCGUAGGCUGUUUCGUAAGUCGUGUGUGAAAGGCGCGGGCUCAACCCGCGGACGGCACAUGAUACUGGGAGACUAGAGUAAUGUAGAGGGAACCGGAAUUCGCGGUGUAGCAGUGAAAUGCGUAGAUAUCGAGAAGAACACUCGUGGCGAAGGCAGGUUCCUGGACAUUAACUGACGCUGAGGCACGAAGGCCAGGGGAGCGAAAGGGAUUAGAUACCCCUGUAGUC